This 125-nucleotide small RNA is filed under the name Marmota monax (woodchuck). The record is from RNAcentral. Lineage: Eukaryota; Metazoa; Chordata; Mammalia; Rodentia; Sciuridae.
GCCGGGUGUGGUGGUGCAUGCCUGUAAUCCCAGUGGCUCUGGAGGCUGAGGCAGGAGGAUUGUAAGUUUAAAGCCAGCCUCAGCAAAAAGUGAGGCCUAAGCAAUUCAGUGAGAUUCUGUCUCUA